Molecule: long non-coding RNA, 445 nt
Organism: Pseudophryne corroboree (corroboree frog)
Lineage: Eukaryota; Metazoa; Chordata; Amphibia; Anura; Myobatrachidae
Exons: 3
Source: RefSeq, a predicted model, not a curated record
CAGUGUCCGUCCGGUUGAGGUAGAUGCUAGAAUCAAGUGGUGCUAAGGGACCUUUUCCGUCUAGGGGAGGAGUUACGACAUAAGGGGGAGGAGUGUCCGUCGUGAUCAGACUCUCCAGCUGUGAGGAACCAGAGUCUUUAUUACACGUCACACGUUCUGUAUUCUCAUCUAUCACAAAGCAUGGACAUGGACGGAAGUCACAGGACUGAGAGGAUAAUAAAUAUCACCCUGGAGAUCAUCUACCUGCUGACUGGAGAGGAUUACACAGUAGUGAGGAAGACAUUCGGUGAGUAUGAGACACCCAGCAGCCGUCUCCGCAUAUCAGGAGGACUGAGCAGGACCCAGAGCCCCAUCACGGUGCCUCAACCUCACUCACUGAUACAUGAGAGACACAAUGACCAGAAAAUCCUGGAACUCACCAACAAGAUCAUUCAGCUGCUGACUG